GUAAGGAAUAUUGGACAAUGGGCGAAAGCCUGAUCCAGCCAUGCCGCGUGAGUGACGAAGGCCUUAGGGUUGUAAAGCUCUUUCAGCUGUGAGGAUAAUGACCGUAGCAGCAGAAGAAGCCCCGGCUAAUUUCGUGCCAGCAGCCGCGGUAAUACGAAAGGGGCAAGCGUUGUUCGGAAUCACUGGGCGUAAAGCGUACGUAGGCGGCGAUAUAAGUCAGAAGUGAAAUCCCAGGGCUCAACCUUGGAAUUGCUUUUGAAACUGAAUUGCUAGAGUCCCGGAGAGGUUGGCGGAAUUCCGAGUGUAGAGGUAAAAUUCGCAGAUAGUCGGAGGAACACCAGUGGCGUAGGCGGCCAACUGGUCCAUUACUGACGCUGAGGUGCGAAAGCGUGGGGAGCAAACAGGAUUAGAAACCCGGGUAGUCC
RNAcentral lists this ribosomal RNA (425 nucleotides) under uncultured bacterium. RNAcentral describes it as "partial 16S ribosomal RNA". It matches the Rfam family "Bacterial small subunit ribosomal RNA", at positions 354 to 796 of the family's 1533-position model. The record is from RNAcentral.